CCUACGGGCGGCAGCAGUGGGGAAUAUUGCACAAUGGGGGGAACCCUGAUGCAGCGACGCCGCGUGAGUGAAGAAGUAUUUCGGUAUGUAAAGCUCUAUCAGCAGGGAAGAAAAUGACGGUACCUGACUAAGAAGCCCCGGCUAACUACGUGCCAGCAGCCGCGGUAAUACGGAGGGGGCAAGCGUUAUCCGGAUUUACUGGGUGUAAAGGGAGCGUAGGCGGUUAUGCAAGUCUGAAGUGAAAGCCCUGGGCUCAACCAUGGAACUGCUUUGGAUACUGUAAAGCUGGAGUGCAGGAGAGGUAAGCAGAAUUCCUGGUGUAGCGGUGAAAUGCGUAGAGAUUAGGAGGAACACCAGUGGCGAAGGCGGCUUACUGGACUGUGACUGACGCUGAGGCACGAAAGCGUGGGGAUCGAACAGGAUUAGAUACCCUAGUAGUC
Molecule: ribosomal RNA, 440 nt
Filed under: uncultured bacterium
Lineage: Bacteria
Description: partial 16S ribosomal RNA
Rfam family: Bacterial small subunit ribosomal RNA
Source: RNAcentral